MicroRNA precursor from Balaenoptera musculus (blue whale), 83 nucleotides. The record is from Ensembl. NCBI's taxonomy places the organism in Eukaryota, Metazoa, Chordata, Mammalia, Artiodactyla, Balaenopteridae.
UCUCUUGUGUUAAGGUGCAUCUAGUGCAGUUAGUGAAGCAGCUUAGAAUCUACUGCCCUAAAUGCCCCUUCUGGCACAGGCUG